Molecule: long non-coding RNA, 975 nt
Filed under: Eutrema salsugineum
Lineage: Eukaryota; Viridiplantae; Streptophyta; Magnoliopsida; Brassicales; Brassicaceae
Description: long non-coding RNA (ESAL_LNC000127)
Source: RNAcentral
CUCCUUCUGUCAUUUAUGAUACCCCAUUCCAGAAACGUUUACUCCUUCCAAUUGAUUCAACUGUCUCUAAUGUACAGGUUUUUUUUUUCUUCUUCAUCUUCUCAAAUGCUGCCUCUUUUAUCUGGGUUUUGUUAUUUGAUUUGUUUAAAGGAGUUCUGUUCGUCGUGAAUGAUUUUGUUGUUUGAAGCGCUUUUCAUUGUAAAGUUCAAUCAAUACAUUGUUUGGUAGAUUGAUUGAAUUGAGAUUCUUAGAUUUAUUAAGGCUUUGUUCUCAGAAGAAAUCAGACUUGUAUGAUUAUCGCAUGCUUGAUAAUGUAUAUAAAUGUAUCUUUCAGGCUAUCUUUGUCUAUAUAUUAUUCUUCUGUUUACAAAUAAGUGUGAAUCUUUUCCUAUAACUUAGUAGAUGUGGUUUAUAGAUUCAUAUUUUUGGCUUUGAUUUCACAGGUACGUUUACAUGGCUAAAGAAUUAAACUUCUGAAACUGUGGCACUAAAAAAAAACUGUAUGGACAAUAAAAAAGAAGGACCUCUAAGCUACAUUCUACUACUACCUUAGAAAAAGUUGCAAAUUUUGUGAAUCCAAUAUGAUUUAUAAUUCUUGUAUCACUAUUUGCUUCAAGUUUCCGAUAACAGCUAUGGGAGAUUAAAACUCUGAAGAAGCUUCAUCAUGAAAACACUUCAGAAGCUCCGCUAAAGAGGCUUGAAGUUUGAUAUUUAGAGUUUUGUGGCUUUUUGUCUUUCAACAAUUAAACUGUACCAGUCUUAUUGCACCUUCUUGGAGAUUAGAAUCCCCUCUAUAAUCUGAUUAAAGGAAAGCCAGUUUUUGGCCACCAUUUUCUUGGAGUAGAAAAACUCAUCCCAUAAUUAGGCAAUUCAUAUUGUUUAUCUUAUAAUGCACACACUCAUAGAUUGGUCGCCCUCUUAACAAUACUGGUUGUUCAUUUAGUUCCUUUUUCAACAAAUUAACAGCAAAGCAGG